AAUAAAAUGUAGAUUUCAAUUCUCCAGUCAAAUAUAACUCAUAUUCCUGAGAUGGUUUUGCCUAAAUUAUUGAAGUUCUAUGUUCUCCAAUUUCUUCCCACACAAAACUGUUGGUUUAAAAGCAUCAUCAAAAAAAUGACCAUCAUCAAGAGCCACAUGUUUAAAUAGUUCUGUGUCAAAGAAAUGGAUACUUUGUUUUCAAUGUCUAAUUAUAGAGGGGUUUUUUUUUUCACAGUUUCUCCAAGGCAAUGGAUUACAAAAGGGAAUUAUUUAUACUGAUUACUGCAUAUGACUACAGCUGCAUCAUGAGCCACUCUCUCGGUCCCACUCUUCUGGGGAAUAGGAAAAGGAAAGAGAAGAAAAAUAACAAGAAGAAGAAACACAGAAGAACAAUUAGAAAAGAAAAUUUACUGAAGAAGAAAUUCAGUACCUCAAACAGGCUCAUGAGAAGAAUGAAACUUGUUCCCUAAAGAUUUGAAUUGCACAAAUGGAAUGUAGCAUCUUCACAAGAGAGCAGGGAUUAAAAAACAAAUUCAAGAGAAUUAAAAAAAAAACCAACAUUCCUGGAAAAUCAACCAUCCUGGGAAAUAGAUCCAGGAGAUAUAUGAAUCUAAGAUCAAUGGAUUGAGGGAAAACCAUGAUAAAAAUGAACUUUAACACCAUAUUGAAAGAAAUUGCCUUGAUAUUUUUAAUAAGAUCAGAAAAUAGAAAUUUAAAGGAUCUACAGAUCUACAGAUAAAAGUCACAAAUUUUUUGAAUUCUAGGAUUAUUAUAGGCAAAUCCUAGCAAUCCCAAGUCCAGAAGAAAAUACUACAAGCAGCCAGAAAAAGAUCAAAUAUUGUAGAACCAUGGUCAGAAUUACCUAAGAACUAGCCACUUCUCUAUUAAUGGAGCAGAAGAUAAGGAAUAUGAUAUUCUGCAAAGCAAAAUUCCUUGGCCUACAAUCAAAUAUCUUAGUAUCAGAAAAACUAAGCAUAGUACUUCAGGUUAGGAAAUGUACAUUGAAUGGAAUAUUGGAUUUCUAGGUAUUCAUGAUGAAAAUGGUCAGAGCCAAAAAAAGAAAAUUUGAUGAUCAAAUUUGACAAUAAAAAUAAUUUUUAAAAGUUAACAUUAAAGAAACUCUCAAGGGAAUUGGUGGAGUUAAAAUAAUCACAUUCCUGCAAAAGAAAGUGGUAACUCAGAUUCUUCAUAUUUAUAUAGUACAAGAGAUUCCUAAAGUACUUCCUAAAGUACUUAAUUUACUUGAACCAAUCAAGGGAAAUAAUGGACUGAAACUUGUUACAUUAUUAGUAAGAAGGUUAAAACUAAGAUGCUUAAGAUAUCUAUGAUACUUAAAAGUACCUAAAACUAUGUAAAGUAUUUAGGAUACAUAUGAUGCUGAAGAUUCUUAAGAAUUUUAUUUCUAUUAGGGCAAUGAAUAAGAACAUAUAUACACAAAGAACAGGGAGUAAUUUGAAUAUAAUGGGAUUUUUUAAGUUAGGGGAUGAAAAGAGUAAUAACACACUGUAGAAAAAGAAAGGAAGAGAUAGUUGGGAGUAAAUUAUCUUGCAUUAGGUGGCAUAAAUGAAUCAAAAUUGUAGAAAGGAAAAUGAGUUGCUAGAAGGUAAUGAUUGAAACUUACUCUCAUAACAUAAUUGAAAUAACAUCCACAUUCAGUAAGGUAUAUAAAUAAAUCUUACCCAAGAGAAAAGAGAGUAAUAAAGUUGGGUUAAAAAAAAUGAGACACACUUUUGAUCCAGGAGGCACAACUUUGAUCCAGCCAUAGUAUUUCUGGGUCUGUAUCCCAAAGAGAUAAUAAGGAAAAAGACAUGUACAAGAAUAUUCAUAGCAGCGCUAUUUGUGGUGGCAAAGAAUUGGAAAAUGAGGGGAUGCCCUUCGAUUGGGGAAUGGCUGAACAAAUUGUGGUAUAUGUUGGUGAUGGAAUACUAUUGUGCUCAAAGGAAUAAUAAAGUGGAGGAAUUCCAUGGGAACUGGAACAACUUCCAGGAAGUGAUGCAGAGUGAGAGGAGAAGAACCAGGAGAACAUUGUACACAGAGAAUAAUACACUGUGGUACAAUCGAAGGAAAUGGACACCUCUAUUGGUGGUAAUGCAUUGAUCUUGAACAACCCAGAGAGGUACAGUAGAAAAAACAAUAUCCACAUCCAGAGGAAAAACUGUAGAAGUAAAAACACUAAAGAAAAAGUACUGCUUAAUGACAUGGGUCGAAGGGGAUAUGAAUGGGGAAAUAGACUCCAAAUGAACAUCCUAUUGCAAAUACCAACAACACGGAAAGAAGUUCUGAUCAAGAACACAUGCGAUACCCAAUCAAACUUCGUGUUGGCUUUGGGAGGGGUAGGGGAAAGGGAGGGAGGAAAAGAAAAUGACUUUGUAACCAAGGAACAAUGUUUGAAAUUAAAAAUUAAAAAAAAGAUAAAAGGAGGCAGAGACAAAAAAAAAGGAAUUUAUGGGAACAAGUAAACUGAAGCAAAAAAAAAUUAUGAAUGAGGUAUAUAUAAUAUAAAAGGUGUAAAAAGAGAUGGAUAAACCAGGGGAAAAUAAUUGGAGGAAAACAGUUAAUAAUUUGAACUCUAAAUAUGAAGGGAUGAAUUCAUCCAUAAAAUGUAAGAGGAUAGAAAAAUCUAUUUAACUCAGAAUCCCAUAAUAUGCUGACUAAAAGAUAUUCAUUUAAAGCAGGGAGACAGAACAAAGGUAAAAGGCCAGAGCAAAAUUUACUCUGCUUCAGCUUAAGUUAACAAAAUAGUACUAUUAUAAGAAGAGAAAAGAAAAAAUUGAUGAGCAAUAUUGUUUCAGAAAAUUCUGGGUAGACAUAUGAAUUCAUGCAAAGGAAAGUAAGCAAAGCCACAAGUACAUUGUAUAAAGAAAUAGAAUUUUUAGGAUGAUCAACUGUGAAAGACUUAGUUAGCUGCUUUGAUCAAAGCAAAGUAUCCAAGAUAAUUCAAAAGUACCCAGGAUGAAAAAUGCCAACCAUUUGCAGAGAGAAAAAUUAUGAACUCUGAAGCACAGUUUUUAAAUUUUAUUUUAUUUAUCUAUUAUUUAUUUAUUUAUUUAAUUUAAGAUUGGGUAUGCAUUUCUUCUUUUGCAAAAUGACUAAUAUGGAAACAUGUUUUUCAUCACUUUACAUGUAUAAUUGAGGUAAAAAUUAUCACCUUGUCAAUUAGGGGGAAGGGAGCCAUGAAGAGAAUUUGGAACUCAAAAUAACUAACAUCAAAUCUUAAAAAAAUUAAUGUAAUGGAGAAAUAUUAAACAAAUUAAAAUAUGUUUAAAAUAAUAUGAACUAUUCCCCAGUUGAUAAAUCAUCAAAGGAUAUGAAUAUAUAGUUUUUUGAUUAAUAUUUCAAAGACAUUUAUAAUUAUAUGAAAAAAUGUUCUAUGCCAUUACUGAUUAGAGAAAUGCAGAUCAAAACAACUCUGAUUACAGUAAUGAAAAUGAAAGUAAAACACACCUGUAACAUUGUAUAAAAUUAUAAAAGGGCAAAAUGACAAAUAUUGGGGGGGAAUUGGAAAAAAAUAAAGACAUUAAUGCAUUGUUGUUGAAAUUGCCAAUCAAUCUAAAUGUUUUGGAGAACAAUCUGGAGUUCUGUUCAAAGAGUUAUAAAACUGUAUACCUUUUGAUUCAGCAAUAUCAUUAUUGGGUUUAUUUUCUAAAGUAAUCAAGAAAAAGGUAAAGACCUGUAUAUUCUAAAACAUCAUGAUAGAAAAAAUAUAAAGGCGUAUAUGAAGUGAUGCAAAGUGAAAUGAAGAGAACAAGGAGAGUAUUAAAAACAAUGAAGUAUGAUGAUCUAUUAUGAAUGAAUUGACUAUUAUCAAUAAGGUAAGAAUCCAGGACAAUUCUAGGGGAUUCAAAACAAACAAACAAACAAAAGGGUAUUCACCACUAUAGAAGGCACUGGUGGAGUUUGAAUACAAAUUUAAACAUGGCAUUCUUCAUUUUAUUUCAUCCAUAAAUUUUUUUUAGUAUAAUCAGUAUGUGUCUUGUUUCACGACAUGACUAAUAGAAAAAUAUAUAUCAUCUAAUGUAAAAGGGGAUACUUAAGCACACUGUGAAAUGGGAGUUAAACGGCAUAAGAGAUUGUAUGGAUGGUUGACUGGGGUUUUACAUAACCUAGCCGGAUUAAGGUGUCCUCCCCAGAGGCAGAGUGCUAACCCUCAACUCAAUGACAGUUGACUGGGAAUUUGGCUCAACCCAGUCUAGGUAAAAUCCUCUUCUCCAGGAUAAACUCAAAAGACUGCUUCUCCCCCUUAAUGGUUCAGUUUGAUGAAUAUGACUGCUUCUCAGUGAUGAUUAAUUUAUUUGUAUAAAGUAAAUAGGGAUAGGAUCAGGAAAGAGGAUGGAAGGUUUCCCUAAACUAAUGAAACAAACAUCAAUGUCAAGUCUUGUCAGUCCUCAGUUAAAGCCGAGGCCAAUUUGAAUCUCCUCUUUAUCUAGAGUUUUUUUCUAUGUUGUCUAACCAUAGUCUAAUCCAGAAAAGGAAUGUCUUUAGAUUUUUGGUGAAGCAGAUGAGAAGUCAAGAAUUAGGGGCGAUUCUGUCUACCUCAGUGAAUAAGCCCUGAAGGUAAACUAAGCAGUACAAAUCUGCUCCCUCUUUGGUCUUGGUCUUCUCAGCAUGACAAGAAUAAUUUCAGGAUUCUGCAGAUCUCAGGUCAAUAGGAAAAUCCUUGGCAGGGCUGGGUUUCACUUCCAAGGGCUAGGGUAAGGGUCUCCAAGUUGCCUCUCUCCUCAGAGUUCAUGAGCAACUCCCCCUGAAGCUAGCAGUUGAACUCUCAGCAACCCCCUUUUCCAAGAUUCCAAGCAGGUUCUCUUCUAUCACUGCUCCAUGGCAUUCUAUGGAACUUCCUUGCAAACUCAUUUCUUUUGCAAAAUACCAUGUCUCACUAAUAAUUGAUGUACAAUCCAUAAUGCCUGUCUUUUUUGGGAAAGGUGAUAGUAGAGAGAGGAGGGAAAAAUGAGAAUGAGAUACAGAAUUUUGGAUAUAGCUAAUGUGAGAAUUUGUUUCCUUUGAAUAAGUAUGUAUAUACAUUACAUGUUAUAAGGAAUAAUAAAAAAUAAAUUAUAAAAAUUAGAAUUGAUCAAAAGUGAUUUAAUGACUGUGAUAUCAAGAAAAAAGAAAUAAAGUUAAAAGAAUGAAAUCGA
Molecule: long non-coding RNA, 5132 nt
Organism: Monodelphis domestica (gray short-tailed opossum)
Lineage: Eukaryota; Metazoa; Chordata; Mammalia; Didelphimorphia; Didelphidae
Source: RefSeq, a predicted model, not a curated record